RNAcentral lists this long non-coding RNA (238 nucleotides) under Chinchilla lanigera (long-tailed chinchilla). Its description in RNAcentral is "lncRNA (ENSCLAG00000022536.1)". Lineage: Eukaryota; Metazoa; Chordata; Mammalia; Rodentia; Chinchillidae. The record is from RNAcentral.
AGAGAACACUUGUAGAGUAUGGGUCACUCAAGUGCUUAUUUUAUGCAAUAAUACAAUAUUAUAAUGUUUCAUUUCAGAAACCCUAGACAUAAACGGAAUUAAAGUGCUACAAACUUGUGUAACAGAAAGGACUUCAGUAUGUGAAAGAAAAGCAGAGGCCCAGUGGGUAAACCUAACAUUCAAAGGAUGAUUCCUGAAACUGAACGUACAGAAGGAUAAGAGACCAAGCUCUCUCAUG